RNAcentral lists this ribosomal RNA (253 nucleotides) under uncultured bacterium. RNAcentral's name for it is "partial 16S ribosomal RNA". It matches the Rfam family "Bacterial small subunit ribosomal RNA", at positions 524 to 776 of the family's 1533-position model. The record is from RNAcentral.
UACAGAGGGUGCAAGCGUUGUUCGGAAUUACUGGGCGUAAAGCGAGUGUAGGCGGCCUAUUAAGUCAGAUGUGAAAUCCCUUGGCUCAACCGAGGAACUGCAUCUGAUACUGGUGGGCUUGAGUGUCGGAGGGGAUGGUAGAAUUCCUGGUGUAGAGGUGAAAUUCGUAGAUAUCAGGAGGAAUACCUGUGGCGAAGGCGACCAUCUGGAAGACAACUGACGCUGAGACUCGAAAGCGUGGGUAGCGAACAGG